AACUAACGCUGGCGGCGUGCCUAACACAUGCAAGUCGUACGGGAAAGCCGGCUUCGGCUGGUGAGUAAAGUGGCGCACGGGUGAGUAACGCGUGGAUAAUCUGCCCUUAAGUGUGGAAUAACGUACCGAAAGGUGCGCUAAUACCGCAUAAUGCCUGGCAACACAAGUUGUCCGGCCAAAGAAGGCCUCUGUUUACAAGCUUUCGCUUCAGGAUGAGUCCGCGUACCAUUAGCUUGUUGGUGGGGUAAUGGCCUACCAAGGCUGCGAUGGUUAGCUGGUCUGAGAGGAUGAUCAGCCACACUGGAACUGAGACACGGUCCAGACUCCUACGGGAGGCAGCAGUGAGGAAUAUUGCGCAAUGGGGGCAACCCUGACGCAGCAACGCCGCGUGAGUGAGGAAGGUUUUCGGACUGUAAAGCUCUGUCGAGCGGGAAGAAGUGUACCAUGGCUAAUAUCCAUGAUAUUUGACGGUACCGCUAGAG
RNAcentral lists this ribosomal RNA (482 nucleotides) under uncultured bacterium. RNAcentral describes it as "bacterial SSU rRNA". It matches the Rfam family "Bacterial small subunit ribosomal RNA", at positions 29 to 486 of the family's 1533-position model. The record is from RNAcentral.